This is a non-coding RNA of Arachis ipaensis, 478 nucleotides long. The record is from RefSeq and is a predicted model, not a curated record. Lineage: Eukaryota; Viridiplantae; Streptophyta; Magnoliopsida; Fabales; Fabaceae.
UAGAUCUUUGAGAGGUUCCAUAGUUGGAGAUUGAGGUUGGAGCUGUCGAGUUGGUGGAGGUUUCCGAUUAUGGGAAGUGGUUUAGGACCUGGUGGUAGAGUGGUUCUUUUGUGUUGUUGUUUCUUUAAGUGAUGAAAUAUCACUACUGCCAUUAGAGGAAUUGCAAGAAGAAGCAGAUAAUACAGAAAUGAAAACAUUGAGUGGAAGAAAUUGAAGAAGCCAAUGCAAGCUAAGGUAUGAUAUUUGAUAUGAUAUGAAGCAGCCGAAGAAAAUUCAUAGUCCAAACGGAAGUGCAGUAUAUAUUUUUUAUGUUGUAUAUUCUGGAAAAUCAGCAGAGAAUUAAAACUUUAUAUUAAAUUAAUGUACUAGCAAGAGAUGAUAUAAGACCAAAUGCUCUGAAUAAGAAGACAAUUCCAAGUCGAAAGAGUUGUUACAAUUUAUAUAUGAAGGCUGGUGUAUGUGUAGCAAUUGAAGAGUA